Molecule: long non-coding RNA, 2636 nt
Organism: Acinonyx jubatus (cheetah)
Lineage: Eukaryota; Metazoa; Chordata; Mammalia; Carnivora; Felidae
Exons: 4
Source: RefSeq, a predicted model, not a curated record
GCAGGGCGGGGAGAGGGCAGGGGAGAGGGCAGGGGAGGCGGGACGGAGCGCGUCCCUCCCGAGGAGCGUGGGUGGGGGACACCCUCGCUGGAGCGGCUGCGGGGCUCUACGUGAAGCCCCGCCCGUACACCCAGAAGUGUCAGGGCUGUGCCUCCAGGGCGCUGAGCCCUGAGCUUUGCAGAAAUGCACCCCCACGCCCAGCCCUCGUUCCCUUCUUCUCUCCGAAGUCUGGCGGUAGGUACGGCUUGACCCAGCCCAGGGAAAGCAGCUCCUCUCCCACGUGCGCGUCGCUCUGUCCUCCGCGCGCGGAGUCCCAGCACCUCCUUCCCCCGUUACAGGUUACAGGGGAUGGCCGGGAGAGAGACUCUCCCACUCCCCCUACCCCAUAAACCCUGAUUUAAGGACCCAACUGUUUGCCCUUUGCAAGUGAUGUUGUAAAUAAAAUAACCCGCUUUGGAGAGUCCGUGGCUAGCCACGCUCCCCUGCUCCCCUACCCCCGACUGCCCUGCAGCCCGAUGGUUGAAGAGAAGAUUCUGUUUUGAGAGCAGAGAGCUGAAACUUAUAUAUACUGAGAACGUGCUCUGAACCAGACGCUGUACUAGGUCGCUGCACUUACGGUUGAAUAUUCACAACAGGGGAAAUUAUUUGCCCCGGUUCAGACCCAGGCACACCUGGCUCAUGGGGUCACAAAGGAAAUGUGUGGAUGCAGAGAUUAGGCGCUGCCUGGGUCUAACCGCCCCCCUACCCCCACCCCGCCCCUGCUCCACUCCUCCAAGAGAGCCAGCAGAUGCAAAGGCCCUGUGUGAUGUGGCAUCCGAUGGAUGGCGCUGGAAACCAGAGAGGGGAUGCGGGGAGAUCAAGGCAGGAAGAGUGGAGCUGACCCAGCCGGGGAUUGCUGGAGGUGGUCUUCCAGCCUGGUUGUCUCAACCAUUACCCCACACCUUCUGGCCUGUAAGCAACAGGAAGGCGGAGACCACAUUUGUAUUAUUGGCUCUACCUAGUGCCUCGUUUGUGUCUGCUCGAUUGUUGAAUCUCCUGGCUACCAAGUCAUUCCAGUAGCAUCCCCAUUUCACAACGGGGAAAUUGACACUCAGAGAGGUCAAAUGGCUUGCCCAGGGUCACAUGCCCCAAGGAGUUGGGCGAUUGGACAAGCCUCCUCCCGUGGGAUUCACCUUAGACCUCUCCAGUCGGUCCAACUGGCAGAGAGCGCUUGUGGGGACAGGGGACUCUGGUGAACCCUGAUUCAGGUGGCCAGGUACUGGGCUUUCCAGGUGGCCUUCACAAAGAGGGUGUGGCUCUUUUUUUUUUUUCCCCCCCUUAAUUCAAACUCUUGUGUCUUUCAAACUCUUGUGUCUGACUUGCGAUAGAUCUCUUCCAGGGAGCUGAAGAGGGCGUGACUCUUGCCUCAGGUUUUGGUGUCACAGCCAGAGAGGCCAGGAAUCCAGGACCAGGGACUCCAGCUCCACAAUAGACCUGGUGGGGGGAGGGGCCAGGGCUAGAGGGAGGAGCCGAUCCUACACUCCACCUUCGGGAAGGAGGAUUUUGUGCUGGGCACAUAAUCAAUCCCCACAACAACCCUGGCAAGAUGGGUUUUUAAUAUUCUCCGUAAUACAAGUGAAAAAGCAGAAGCUUGGGGACAUUAAGAAAGCGCCUUGCCCAAGGACGCUGUGUGGCAAGUGGCGGUCAGCCCAGAUGUUCAGGUCUGCAAGUCUCUGUAGAAGGCAGAGGGCGUUCAGUGACCUGGCGCCUGACGCAGGUGGGCUUGGCGCAAGAGGCCCCCGGGAGCGCCCCCUUCAGGCAGUUCUGAGAGUUCUGUUGUGGGUCCCUUGGGUCUAAGGCGUUGUGCUUGGGGGGCUUAGGGACCAGAGCUGAAUACACCCUCUUUCAGGUCUCUUGUCUUCUUCCUAGCCAGCAAUCACUAGCAUUGAUGGAGCGCUCGCUGUGCGCCAAGCGGUGUUCUAGAAGCCUCAGCUCUCUUCCUGCUCGCAUCAACCUAGCACCUGUUAGCCCGGCCAUUUUACAGACGGAGACAACAGACGGAGACAAAUGAGGCACAGAGUGAGAGCGGAGGGCAGGGCAGAGAGAGAGAGAGUGAGAACGGGGCUCCGUCUCAUGAACAGUGAGAUCACGACCUAAACUGAAAUCGAGUCCAAUGCUCAACCAACUGAGCCACCCAGGCGCUCCCCGUGGGUGCUUGCAUUCAUUCCGCGAGUAUUAACUGUACCAGGCACUGGGAGAUCAGACACUGAGGAGACAUGGACCCUGCCCUCAAGGAGCUUACAGUCGAGAGAGGAGACGGAGACCAGCCAACAGGCCUUCCCGAAAGAGUGGCGGAGAACAGAUCCGUUCUACCUGUGACCACCAGGGCGAUUCUGUCGCGGACUUCAGCAGGUGAAGCAGCUGGGGCCUGAGGUGCCUCCAGGAGAAGGAGGAGACUCAUAAUCCAGGGCUCAGUUCCCCCAGGGGUGCCCCCUUCUGACCACUCUCCUUCCCUGUCCCACCCCAACUCCUGCCCUUGCUGUGGCUGCUGGCUUCCCCUCCUGUCUUUCCCCACGUCCCCCUCCCCAAGCAGCCUGGGGACACUCCAGAGCAACCUUCUCCCCACCCCAGGCAGUCCCUCUCCCACAACAGACUCA